UGCUCAAGGGAAGUUGUCAUAUUCAAGUGCGACACGCGGGCGGUUUCUCAGGAUUCAAGGGAAGUUAUCAAAUACAGGCGCCCCCGACCGUGUGGCGGUUUCUCGGCGCUCAUAAAGGCCGCCCAGCCAGCACCCUUCUAUACAAAGCAA
Syngnathus acus (greater pipefish) is the source of this 150-nucleotide long non-coding RNA. RefSeq lists it as uncharacterized. The record is from RefSeq and is a predicted model, not a curated record. NCBI's taxonomy places the organism in Eukaryota, Metazoa, Chordata, Actinopteri, Syngnathiformes, Syngnathidae. The transcript has 3 exons.